This 1707-nucleotide ribosomal RNA is filed under the name Triticum aestivum (bread wheat). RNAcentral describes it as "partial small subunit ribosomal RNA". Lineage: Eukaryota; Viridiplantae; Streptophyta; Magnoliopsida; Poales; Poaceae. The record is from RNAcentral.
AUGGGCCGGUCCCGCGGGGUGCCCAAUUCCGGCGACGACGACACCAACCACAGGUCGAAGCGGAGGAGGGUCGCCUCGACCGGGGAUGCGUCGGACUCGCUCUCCGCGGCGUGCGGGGGAGCCGGCGACGGGAAGAAGGCACUGUACCACUGCAACUACUGCAACAAGGACCUGUCUGGGAAGAUCCGGUUCAAGUGCUCCAAGUGCCCCGACUUUGACCUCUGCGUCGAGUGCUUCUCCGUCGGAGCCGAGGUCACUCCGCACCGGAGCAACCACCCCUACAGGGUCAUGGACAACCUAUCUUUUCCACUCAUUUGUCCAGAUUGGAAUGCGGAUGAGGAAAUCCUUCUUCUAGAGGGAAUUGAAAUGUAUGGUCUGGGAAACUGGGCUGAAGUUGCGGAGCAUGUUGGUACCAAGAGCAAGGCACAGUGCAUCGAGCAUUAUACUACUGCAUAUAUGAACUCACCUUGUUAUCCCCUUCCGGACAUGUCUCAUGUUAAUGGCAAGAAUAGGAAGGAACUUCUUGCCAUGGCUAAAGUACAGGGUGAGAGUAAAAAAGGAAUUCCACUGUUAUCAGGGGAUUUGACACCUAAGGCAGAGUCACCAUUUUCUCCCUCCAGGAUCAAGAUGGAAGAUGCACUUGGAGAAGGUCCAGCCAGUCGAUCACCUUCGCACAUACCUGGUGGUGCAAAUAAGAAAGCUUCAACUGUUGGGCAUUUUAAAGAUAGUGCUAAUCUAUCUAAAGUCGAAGAUGGUCAUAUGGAUAGAAGUAUUGGCGUGAAAAAACCCAGAUAUUCUGCAGAUGAGGGGCCUUCUUUAACUGAAUUGAGUGGGUACAAUGCAAAGAGACACGAGUUUGACCCAGAGUAUGAUAAUGAUGCUGAACAAGCCCUCGCAGAGAUGGAAUUUAAAGAAACUGAUUCAGAAACUGAUCGUGAACUGAAGCUACGUGUGUUGCGUAUUUACUUGUCAAGGCUUGAUGAAAGAAAAAGGAGAAAAGAGUUCAUAUUGGAAAGAAAUUUACUAUAUCCUAAUCCUUUGGAGAAGGAUCUAACUAAUGAAGACAAGGAAGUUUACCAUCGGUACAAGGUUUUCAUGCGUUUCCUUUCCAAGGAGGAACAUGAAGCCCUUGUUAGGAGUGUUAUUGAAGAGCGAAAAAUCCGGAGGAGGAUUCAAGAGCUUCAGGAAUGUCGUUCAGCUGGAUGCCGUACGCUGGCUGAAGCCAAGAUACAUAUAGAGCAAAAGAGGAGAAAGGAGUAUGAGGCGAAUGCUCUGAAAGCCAAGGAAAGUGGCCAGCUUAUUUCAAAUAGUAAAUCAGGACACAAAACAAACCGUCCUAUGAAACUCGAGACUGAUGGGAGUUUGGAUCUUAAGAAAGGCAGUGCCAUUUUGGAUGCUGGUGGCAGGGAUUCUCCAAAAACCACAGGACCUACAAGCGCUAAGCAAUGGGAUGAUUGGGACAUUGUUGGUCUUCCUGGGGCAGAGCUAUUAAGCUCCAGUGAAAAACUUCUGUGCUGUCAGAACAGAUUGCUACCUAGUCAUUAUCUGAGAAUGCAGGAGGUGCUGAUGCAGGAGAUGUUCAAGGGCAAUGUCGUCAAGAAGGAAGAUGCCCAUGUAUUGUUUAAAGUCGAUCCUGCCAAAGUCGAUACGGUUUAUGAUAUGGUGAUGAAAAAGCUGGGCAACAACGAGGAGGCUCCGAUGGUUUAG